AUGGAUGUAGUACUAUGUUCAGGUAGUUAUGUUAUGGAUGUAGUACUAUGUUCAGGUAGUUGUGUUAUGGAUGUUAUGGAUGUAGUUCUAUGUUCAGGUAGUUGUGUUAUGGAUGUAGUACUAUGUUCAGGUAGUUAUGUUAUGGAUGUUAUGGAUGUAGUACUAUGUUCAGGUAGUUGUGUUAUGGAUGUUAUGGAUGUAGUACUAUGUUCAGGUAGUUGUGUUAUGGAUGUUAUGGAUGUAGUUCUAUGUUCAGGUAGUUAUGUUAUGGAUGUAGUACUAUGUUCAGGUAGUUAUGUUAUGGAUGUUAUGGAUGUAGUUCUAUGUUCAGGUAGUUGUGUUAUGGAUGUAGUACUAUGUUCAGGUAGUUGUGUUAUGGAUGUAGUUCUAUGUUCAGGUAGUUGUGUUAUGGAUGUUAUGGAUGUAGUUCUAUGUUCAGGUAGUUGUGUUAUGGAUGUAGUACUAUGUUCAGGUAGUUGUGUUAUGGAUGUAGUACUAUGUUCAGGUAGUUGUGUUAUGGAUGUAGUUCUAUGUUCAGGUAGUUGUGUUAUGGAUGUUAUGGAUGUAGUUCUAUGUUCAGGUAGUUGUGUUAUGGAUGUAGUACUAUGUUCAGGUAGUUGUGUUAUGGAUGUAGUACUAUGUUCAGGUAGUUGUGUUAUGGAUGUAGUACUAUGUUCAGGUAGUUAUGUUAUGGAUGUUAUGGAUGUAGUACUAUGUUCAGGUAGUUGUGUUAUGGAUGUAGUUCUAUGUUCAGGUAGUUGUGUUAUGGAUGUAGUACUAUGUUCAGGUAGUUGUGUUAUGGAUGUUAUGGAUGUAGUACUAUGUUCAGGUAGUUAUGUUAUGGAUGUAGUACUAUGUUCAGGUAGUUAUGUUAUGGAUGUAGUACUAUGUUCAGGUAGUUGUGUUAUGGAUGUAGUUCUAUGUUCAGGUAGUUGUGUUAUGGAUGUAGUACUAUGUUCAGGUAGUUGUGUUAUGGAUGUAGUACUAUGUUCAGGUAGUUAUGUUAUGGAUGUAGUACUAUGUUCAGGUAGUUGUGUUAUGGAUGUAGUUCUAUGUUCAGGUAGUUAUGUUAUGGAUGUAGUUCUAUGUUCAGGUAGUUGUGUUAUGGAUGUAGUUCUAUGUUCAGGUAGUUGUGUUAUGGAUGUUAUGGAUGUAGUUCUAUGUUCAGGUAGUUGUGUUAUAGAUGUAGUACUAUGUUCAGGUAGUUGUGUUAUGGAUGUUAUGGUUGUAGUACUAUGUUCAGGUAGUUAUGUUAUGGAUGUAGUACUAUGUUCAGGUAGUUAUGUUAUGGAUGUAGUUCUAUGUUCAGGUAGUUGUGUUAUGGAUGUAGUUCUAUGUUCAGGUAGUUAUGUUAUGGAUGUAGUUCUAUGUUCAGGUAGUUGUGUUAUGGAUGUAGUUCUAUGUUCAGGUAGUUGUGUUAUGGAUGUUAUGGAUGUAGUUCUAUGUUCAGGUAGUUGUGUUAUAGAUGUAGUACUAUGUUCAGGUAGUUGUGUUAUGGAUGUAGUACUAUGUUCAGGUAGUUGUGUUAUGGAUGUAGUACUAUGUUCAGGUAGUUGUGUUAUGGAUGUAGUUCUAUGUUCAGGUAGUUAUGUUAUGGAUGUAGUUCUAUGUUCAGGUAGUUAUGUUAUGGAUGUAGUUCUAUGUUCAGGUAGUUGUGUUAUGGAUGUAGUUCUAUGUUCAGGUAGUUGUGUUAUGGAUGUUAUGGAUGUAGUUCUAUGUUCAGGUAGUUGUGUUAUAGAUGUAGUACUAUGUUCAGGUAGUUGUGUUAUGGAUGUAGUACUAUGUUCAGGUAGUUGUGUUAUGGAUGUAGUACUAUGUUCAGGUAGUUGUGUUAUGGAUGUAGUUCUAUGUUCAGGUAGUUGUGUUAUGGAUGUAGUAAUAUGUUCAGGUAGUUGUGUUAUGGAUGUUAUGGAUGUAGUACUAUGUUCAGGUAGUUGUGUUAUGGAUGUUAUGGAUGUAGUUCUAUGUUCAGGUAGUUGUGUUAUGGAUGUUAUGGAUGUAGUACUAUGUUCAGGUAGUUGUGUUAUGGAUGUAGUUCUAUGUUCAGGUAGUUGUGUUAUGGAUGUAGUUCUAUGUUCAGGUAGUUGUGUUAUGGAUGUAGUACUAUGUUCAGGUAGUUGUGUUAUGGAUGUAGUACUAUGUUCAGGUAGUUGUGUUAUGGAUGUAGUUCUAUGUUCAGGUAGUUAUGUUAUGGAUGUAGUUCUAUGUUCAGGUAGUUGUGUUAUGGAUGUAGUUCUAUGUUCAGGUAGUUGUGUUAUGGAUGUUAUGGAUGUAGUUCUAUGUUCAGGUAGUUGUGUUAUAGAUGUAGUACUAUGUUCAGGUAGUUGUGUUAUGGAUGUAGUACUAUGUUCAGGUAGUUGUGUUAUGGAUGUAGUACUAUGUUCAGGUAGUUGUGUUAUGGAUGUAGUUCUAUGUUCAGGUAGUUGUGUUAUGGAUGUAGUAAUAUGUUCAGGUAGUUGUGUUAUGGAUGUUAUGGAUGUAGUACUAUGUUCAGGUAGUUGUGUUAUGGAUGUUAUGGAUGUAGUUCUAUGUUCAGGUAGUUGUGUUAUGGAUGUAGUUCUAUGUUCAGGUAGUUGUGUUAUGGAUGUUAUGGAUGUAGUUCUAUGUUCAGGUAGUUGUGUUAUGGAUGUUAUGGAUGUAGUUCUAUGUUCAGGUAGUUGUGUUAUGGAUGUUAUGGAUGUAGUACUAUGUUCAGGUAGUUGUGUUAUGGAUGUAGUUCUAUGUUCAGGUAGUUGUGUUAUGGAUGUAGUACUAUGUUCAGGUAGUUGUGUUAUGGAUGUAGUACUAUGUUCAGGUAGUUAUGUUAUGGAUAUAGUUCUAUGUUCAGGUAGUUGUGUUAUGGAUGUUAUGGAUGUAGUUCUAUAUUCAGGUAGUUGUGUUAUGGAUGUAGUACUAUGUUCAGGUAGUUGUGUUAUGGAUGUAGUACUAUGUUCAGGUAGUUGUGUUAUGGAUGUAGUACUAUGUUCAGGUAGUUGUGUUAUGGAUGUUAUGGAUAUAGUUCUAUGUUCAGGUAGUUGUGUUAUGGAUGUUAUGGAUGUAGUUCUAUGUUCAGGUAGUUGUGUUAUGGAUGUUAUGGAUGUAGUACUAUGUUCAGGUAGUUGUGUUAUGGAUGUAGUUCUAUGUUCAGGUAGUUGUGUUAUGGAUGUAGUACUAUGUUCAGGUAGUUGUGUUAUGGAUGUAGUACUAUGUUCAGGUAGUUAUGUUAUGGAUAUAGUUCUAUGUUCAGGUAGUUGUGUUAUGGAUGUUAUGGAUAUAGUUCUAUGUUCAGGUAGUUGUGUUAUGGAUGUUAUGGAUGUAGUUCUAUAUUCAGGUAGUUGUGUUAUGGAUGUAGUACUAUGUUCAGGUAGUUAUGUUAUGGAUGUUAUGGAUGUAGUUCUAUAUUCAGGUAGUUGUGUUAUGGAUGUAGUUCUAUGUUCAGGUAGUUGUGUUAUGGAUGUAGUACUAUUUUCAGGUAGUUAUGUUAUGGAUGUAGUACUAUGUUCAGGUAGUUAUGUUAUGGAUGUAGUACUAUGUUCAGGUAGUUAUGUUAUGGAUGUUAUGGAUGUAGUACUAUGUUCAAGUAGUUAUGUUAUGGAUGUAGUACUAUGUUCAGGUAGUUAUGUUAUGGAUGUUAUGGAUGUAGUUCUAUGUUCAGGUAGUUGUGUUAUGGAUGUAGUUCUAUGUUCAGGUAGUUAUGUUAUGGAUGUAGUACUAUGUUCAGGUAGUUGUGUUAUGGAUGUAGUACUAUGUUCAAGUAGUUAUGUUAUGGAUGUAGUACUAUGUUCAGGUAGUUAUGUUAUGGAUGUAGUACUAUGUUCAGGUAGUUGUGUUAUGGAUGUUAUGGAUGUAGUUCUAUGUUCAGGUAGUUGUGUUAUGGAUGUAGUUCUAUGUUCAGGUAGUUAUGUUAUGGAUGUUAUGGAUGUGGUACUAUGUUCAGGUGUUAUAGAUGUAGUUCUAUGUUCAGGAUAUGUUCUGUUAUUUAUUACUGUCAGAAUAUCACUGUUUCCAGGAAGCAACACAGUAACAGGACUGACACUAGUUGGCUAUUUGGAGAGUCCCUGAAUGAGUCAGAGCUAGAUACUGUGUCUGUGUGUAUGUGAGUGUGUGUACGUGUGUGUGUGUGUGUGUGUGUGUGUGUGUGUGUGUGUGUGUGUGUGUGUGUGUGUGUGUGUGUGUGUGUGUGUGUGUGUGUGUGUGUGUGUGUGUGUGUGUGUGUGUGUGUGUGUGUGUGUGUGUGUGUGUGUGUGUAUGUGUGUAUGAGUGUGUUGCUAACCUUUUGUAAAGACAUUCACAUUCACACAGUGAUAUGAAUCAUAUAGAUCCAUGAUAGCAGGAUGUGCAGGUCUAGUUGUGUCGAACCUGAAUGUGUUGAGGCCUACUCAGACCAUGGUGAGUGUCCACCCUGAGAUCCCUUCUCCAAUGUCUUCUGUCUUCCCUCACUUUCUAUACAGUAGAUCCCUUCUCUAAUGUCUUCUGUCCUACUUCACAUUCUAUACAGUAGAUCCCUUCUCUAAUGUCUUCUGUCCUGCUUCAAAUUCUAUACAGUAGAUCCCUUUUCCAAUGUCUUCUGUCUUCCCUCACUUUCUAUACAGUAGAUCCCUUCUCCAAUGUCUUCUGUCUUCCCUCACUUUCUAUACAGUAGAUCCCUUCUCUAAUGUCUUCUGUCCUACUUCACAUUCUAUACAGUAGAUCCCUUCUCUAAUGUCUUCUGUCCUACUUCACAUUCUAUACAGUAGAUCCCUUCUCUAAUGUCUUCUGUCCUACUUCACAUUCUAUACAGUAGAUCCCUUCUCUAAUGUCUUCUGUCUUCCGUCACUUUCUAUACAGUAGAUCCCUUCUCUAAUGUCUUCUGUCCUACUUCACAUUCUAUACAGUAGAUCCCUUCUCUAAUGUCUUCUGUCCUCCUUCACUUUCUAUACAGUAGAUCCCUUCUCUAAUGUCUUCUGUCCUCCUUCACAUUCUAUACAGUAGAUCCCUUCUCCAAUGUCUUCUGUCUUCCCUCACUUUCUAUACAGUUGAUCCCUUCUCCAAUGUCUUCUGUCUUCCCUCACUUUCUAUACAGUAGAUCCCUUCUCCAAUGUCUUCUGUCUUCCCUCACUUUCUAUACAGUAGAUCCCUUCUCUAAUGUCUUCUGUCAUACUUCACAUUCUAUACAGUAGAUCCCUUCUCUAAUGUCUUCUGUCCUACUUCACAUUCUAUACAGUAGAUCCCUUCUCUAAUGUCUUCUGUCCUACUUCACAUUCUAUACAGUAGAUCCCUUCUCUAAUGUCUUCUGUCUUCCGUCACUUUCUAUACAGUAGAUCCCUUCUCUAAUGUCUUCUGUCCUACUUCACAUUCUAUACAGUAGAUCCCUUCUCUAAUGUCUUCUGUCCUCCUUCACUUUCUAUACAGUAGAUCCCUUCUCUAAUGUCUUCUGUCCUCCUUCACAUUCUAUACAGUAGAUCCCUUCUCCAAUGUCUUCUGUCUUCCCUCACUUUCUAUACAGUUGAUCCCUUCUCCAAUGUCUUCUGUCUUCCCUCACUUUCUAUACAGUAGAUCCCUUCUCCAAUGUCUUCUGUCUUCCCUCACUUUCUAUACAGUAGAUCCCUUCUCUAAUGUCUUCUGUCAUACUUCACAUUCUAUACAGUAGAUCCCUUCUCUAAUGUCUUCUGUCUUCCCUCACUUUCUAUACAGUAGAACCCUUCUCUAAUGACUUCUGUCUUCCCUCACUUUCUAUACAGUAGAUCCCUUCUCUAAUGUCUUCUGUCCUCCUUCACAUUCUAUACAGUAGAUCCCUUCUCCAAUGUCUUCUGUCCUACUUCACUUUCUAUACAGUAGAUCCUAUAUAUAUCUAUAUAUAUAUAGUGUAUGUGCAUGUGUGGUAAGAUGACAUCUUCAGUAGGUUAAAUGUAGCAACGUUUUAUUGUGGCUAAAGCUACCGAAACAUACAUAAAUCCUCUCUCUCGUGUCUGUCUGUCUGUCUGUCUGUCUGUCUGUCUGUCUGUCUGUCUGUCUGUCUGUCUGUCUGUCUGUCUCUCUGUCUGUCUGUCUGUCUGUCUGUCUGUCUGUCUGUCUGUCUGUCUGUCUGUCUGUCUGUCUGCCUGCCUGUCUGUGUCUCUCUCUCUCUCUCUCUCUCUCUCUCUCUCUCUCUCUCUCACACACACACACACUACAGAGUACACAGUCAAGUACAACACUAAGUGCUUACAUUCAGAACGGUGUUGAUAAAGGACAUGAAAAUGGUACAUUCUCUAAAAGUAUAAAAUACACAACUUGUAAAAGUGCAACAGAAUAGAAUAUAAAACAUACAACAUUGAAUGAAGACGUUGUUUAGAUUGUUUUAAGACUCUACUGAAUCUCCAUGGUUAUUCUGAGACUAAGUUGUAGGGUGGAACCUUAAAGGGGCAGUCUGGGAUUUAAAAAACAAAAUGUUAGACUCAGUCUCUCACAAACACACACAAACACACACUACGCACAAACACACACAAACACACACUACGCACAAACACACACAAACACACACUACGCACAAACACACACAAACACACACUACGCACAAACACACACAAACACACACUACGCACAAACACACACAAACACACACUACGCACAAACACACACUACGCACAAACACACACUACGCACAAACACACACAAACACACACUACGCACAAACACACACUACGCACAAACACACACAUAAACACACACUACGCACAAACACACACAAACACACACUACGCACAAACACACACAUAAACACACACUACGCAAAAACACACACAAACACACACUACGCACAAACACACACACAAACACACACUACGCACAAACAUACACAAACACACACUACGCACAAACACACACACAAACACACACUACGCACAAACAUACACAAACACACACUACGCACAAACACACACAUAAACACACACUACGCACAAACACACACAAACACACACUACGCACAGAUAGUCAAGUUCCAAAGAUAUAGAACGUUAGACUCACCCAGAACAAGUAGAAGAGUUCUGGACCCCAUCUCAGAGACAGACUGGUAUUAUAUCCACACCAGACAACAAAUAGGAUCCUAAUAGAACUAGUCCCACAAGAAGAAUCAGUCUGAGAUUAAAUCUGUUUUUACUGAAUUCAGAUUGAAGAUAAUCCCAGAUUAACAAGGUUUUUAUUCCGUAUGAUAAAUGGUGAGAAAAUAAAUACAAUAUUCUCUCUCUCUUAGAGAGACACCUCUCAGUGUGAACCACAUGGAGUUAGAAAAUAACUAUUUAGCUCUCCUCCCCACACCCUCUUUCUGUUAGAGCACGCCCCCUCUCUCUUUCCCCCCUCUCUCUCUCUGUACUCUCACUGAGAGAGAGAGACAGAGAGAGAGAGAAAGAAAGAGAGUUCUUCAACCAGACAACCACUUUAAGCAUAGGCUCUUUUAGGACAGUGUGUACAUCCCAAAUGAAGGAGGACAGAAGUCAUUAGAGAAGGGAUCUACUGUAUAGAAUGUGAAGUAGGACAGAAGACAUUAGAGAAGGGAUCUACUGUAUAGAAUGUGAAGUAGGACAGAAGACAUUAGAGAAGGGAUAUACUGUAUAGAAUGUGAAGUAGGACAGAAGACAUUAGAGAAGGGAUCUACUGUAUAGAAAGUGAGGGAGGACAGAAGACAUUAGAGAAGGGAUCUACUGUAUAGAAUGUGAAGUAGGACAGAAGUCAUUAGAGAAGGGAUCUACUGUAUAGAAAGUGAGGGAGGACAGAAGUCAUUAGAGAAGGGAUCUACUGUAUAGAAAGUGAGGGAAGUGCCUCCCGGGUGGCGCAGUGGUUAAGGGCGCUGUACUGCAGCACCAGCUGUGCCAUCAGAGUCCCUGGGUUCGCGCCCAGGCUCUGUCGUAACCGGCCGCGACCGGGAGGUCCGUGGGGCAACGCACAAUUGUCGUCCGGGUUAGGGAGGGCUUGGUCUGUAGGGAUGUCCUUGUCUCAUCGCGCACCAGUGACUCCUGUGGCGGGCCGGGCGCAGUGCGCGCUAACCUGGUAGCUAGGUGCACAGUGUUUCCUCCGACACAUUGGUGCGGCUGGCUUCCGGGUUGGAGGCCCGCUGUGUUAAGAAGUUGUGCGGCUGGUUGGGUUGUGUAUCGGAGGACGCAUGACUUUCAAACUUCGUCUCUCCCGAGCCCGUACGGGAUUUGUAGCGAUGAGACAAGAUAGUAGCUACUACAACAAUUGGAUACCACGAAAUUGGGGAGAAAAAGGGGUAAAAUAAAAAAUAUAUAUAUAUAAAAAAAGUGAGGGAGGACAGAAGUCAUUAGAGAAGGGUUCUACUGUAUAGAUAGUGAUAUUAUUCUGCUGUAUUGAAGAGAAGGGAUCUCAGGGUGGACACUCACCAUGGUCUUCAACACAUUCAGGUUCGACACAACUAGACCUGCACAUCCUGCUAUCAUGGAUCUAUAUGAUUCAUAUCACUGUGUGAAUGUGGAUGUCUUUACAAAAGGUUAGCAACACACUCAUACACACAUACACACACACACACACACACACACACACACACACACACACACACACACACACACACACACACACACACACACACACAGACACAUGCAAACACAAACACACACAGACACAUGCAAACACAAACACACAAACACACAGACACAUGCAAACACAAACACA
Molecule: long non-coding RNA, 8625 nt
Organism: Oncorhynchus mykiss (rainbow trout)
Lineage: Eukaryota; Metazoa; Chordata; Actinopteri; Salmoniformes; Salmonidae
Source: Ensembl